This 71-nucleotide transfer RNA is filed under the name Calditrichota bacterium. RNAcentral describes it as "Calditrichaeota bacterium tRNA-Gln". It matches the Rfam family "tRNA". From Rfam's summary of the family: Transfer RNA (tRNA) molecules are approximately 80 nucleotides in length. Their secondary structure includes four short double-helical elements and three loops (D, anti-codon, and T loops). The record is from RNAcentral. RNAcentral also lists the same sequence under 1 other name. Lineage: Bacteria; Pseudomonadati; Calditrichota.
UGGGGAAUCGUCUAAUGGCAGGACGUGUGACUCUGGAUCACAAAAUCGGGGUUCGAGUCCCUGUUCCCCAA